Molecule: ribosomal RNA, 119 nt
Organism: Lepisosteus oculatus (spotted gar)
Lineage: Eukaryota; Metazoa; Chordata; Actinopteri; Semionotiformes; Lepisosteidae
Source: Rfam
GCCAGCAGCCAUAUCACUCUGCAACUCACAACUGGCAACCCUCUAAAGCUAAGCAGGUGUGAGCCUGGUCCAUACCUGCUUGGGAGACCUCCUGGGAAAAACUAAGGUUGCUGCUGGAA